Long non-coding RNA from Uloborus diversus, 505 nucleotides. RefSeq lists it as uncharacterized. NCBI's taxonomy places the organism in Eukaryota, Metazoa, Arthropoda, Arachnida, Araneae, Uloboridae. The transcript is spliced from 4 exons. The record is from RefSeq and is a predicted model, not a curated record.
CCCGGGAAAUAUUCAGUUAAUACCUGAAGCUUAUAGUCAGCUAAACUUUCCAGAGAAUAUAUACUCACAUUUAAAGCAAAAACUUUUGUAUAUUUUCAAGGGAAAAAAAUACCGAAAAUUCAGAAUGAGAUUUUUUCUCAUUAUGUGGCUGUUAUUUUUACUGUAUCUUCGAGACAGUUCAGUCAGCUGCCAGGAGGUUUGGAUUCCACAACCUUUCCAGGAUGAUCGCUCCAAAUCUUAUUUCCUAAACUCUGUCAACAGAUUUCCAGAAUAUAAGCUUCCGAAAUCACCUAUUAUUGCUGGAGCAAUAAAAAAGCGAGUAGCAGCGAUGGGUGUGGAUUUACCAGACUACAUUUUGCAUUAUAGGGGAAAGUCCCCAGAUAUGGGAUCAUUCAGAGAGAGAAUGCAAAUCAGCGGCAGGUAAGGCAAAAUGGCGAUGAAUUGAAAAGAAAAGUAAAAGGAAAGACUUUUCCUGAAGACAACAUAAUAUCACAACAAAGCUAAC